RNAcentral lists this long non-coding RNA (419 nucleotides) under Equus caballus (horse). Its description in RNAcentral is "lncRNA (ENSECAG00000044965.1)". The record is from RNAcentral. Lineage: Eukaryota; Metazoa; Chordata; Mammalia; Perissodactyla; Equidae.
CAACCAGCUAGUCUCUGCCACUGCAUCUUAUUUUGAGACACCUCUUAGAUAUCCAGGAAAAGAACAAUGGGAAACUAAUACAGACACUCAGAACAAUGAGUUCUGCAGCAAUAAAUGAGCAGCCGGAAAAGCUUCUUGACCAACAGGAGCAGUAACAACCCUCUGAAACCUGGUAGAGAUGGUAUUAUACUGCCCAGGGGUCUCAUUGAAAACGAUGGAGAGAGAUGCACAGCCUAGCAGUCAAGAGCAGGGUGCAGUGUGGUGAGCGGGAAAAGCACUGGCCUGGGGGUCAGAAGAACCAACUCUGAUCUGCAGCAAGUCUCUUAAAGUCUCAGUGUGCUGAUCUCUAAGAUGAGUAUAAUAUAAUUUAUUUUGCUUCAAGGUUGUGAGGAUUGGAGGUAAUGUUGGAAAAGGCUGGC